ACUGCUUUGCUUCAAUGCUUUAACAUUCAGCCGUAAUACUAAGUCUUGGAGCGGUCUUGAACACAUUACUUUGAGAAAAGAAUAAGGCUGUGUCAAAAUUCAGCUAGACCUGAUGGCGUUACCAAAUGCUUCAAUAAUUCGCAUAAUCAACUUCUAGGGUUGUUGCUUGUCAGGUUUGGAAAGAGUGAAAGACGCAGAUGGCGCUAAAUCAACACUACCUUAACACUGCAUAUUUACAUUACUACCCUAAACCUGAUCAUUAAUGAAGAUUUGAGUUGUGAAACUGAGAAGGCAGGAGACUUCAACAGACGAGGAAGAUCACUAUACACUAGGAUGGUCUGUGAUCGUGCUAGAUAGAAGCACUUCAUUGGUGAAAAAUUUGGACUUAUAUUCCCUUGAGAUUUUUUUAUUAAAGAAGAGGAGACAGAUGAGAUUAUUAAAGAAUACCAAAAGACUUCAUUUGGGAUAUUUAUAAUUAGGAAUAAAUAAAGUAAAAAGUGUAGAAAUUGAGUUAUAAAUUAUAAUUAGCACUAUAUUUUAGAUUUUUUUUUCAUUGUUUCUAAUUAUUGACUUUUUUAAAUAAAAUUUAACUAAUUAUUUUUUUUAUUGGUGUUUGAAAG
This 620-nucleotide unclassified non-coding RNA is filed under the name Hevea brasiliensis (rubber tree). The record is from RNAcentral. Lineage: Eukaryota; Viridiplantae; Streptophyta; Magnoliopsida; Malpighiales; Euphorbiaceae.